UGGUAUUUAAAAGGUGGAUAUUCCUUCUAUGUUUACGUGAUUCAUAGAUAAUCAUAGAGGAAAAUCCAUGUUUUCAGUAUCA
Molecule: microRNA precursor, 82 nt
Organism: Cervus hanglu yarkandensis (Yarkand deer)
Lineage: Eukaryota; Metazoa; Chordata; Mammalia; Artiodactyla; Cervidae
Source: Ensembl